AGUGAACGCUGGCGGUAGGCCUAACACAUGCAAGUCGAACGGCAGCACAGUAAGAGCUUGCUCUUACGGGUGGCGAGUGGCGGACGGGUGAGGAAUACAUCGGAAUCUACUUUUUCGUGGGGGAUAACGUAGGGAAACUUACGCUAAUACCGCAUACGACCUACGGGUGAAAGCAGGGGAUCUUCGGACCUUGCGCGAUUGAAUGAGCCGCUGUCGGAUUAGCUAGUUGGCGGGGUAAAGGCCCACCAAGGCGACGAUCCGUAGCUGGUCUGAGAGGAUGAUCGGCCACACUGGAGCGGGACCACGGUCCAGACGCCUGCGGGAGGCAGCAGUGGGGAAUAUUGGACAAUGGUCGCAAGCCUGAUCCAGCCAUACCGCGUGGGUGAAGAAGGCCUUCGGGUUGUAAAGCCCUUUUGUUGGGAAAGAAAAGCAGCAGGUUAAUACCCCGCUGUUCUGACGGUACCCAAUGAAUAAGCACCGGCUAACUUCGUG
This 492-nucleotide ribosomal RNA is filed under the name uncultured bacterium. RNAcentral describes it as "partial 16S ribosomal RNA". It matches the Rfam family "Bacterial small subunit ribosomal RNA", at positions 29 to 507 of the family's 1533-position model. The record is from RNAcentral.